CAAGGGACCCUGUAACCAAGCUACUGACAUCCUGCAUAAGGUGACAGAGGCAGUAGAAGAAGUCUUCAGCAAGCUGAAAAGCAUGGAGGCAUCAAAGCGUGCUGUUGAGAAACACGCAGGAGAGAAAGAACAGGAAUUAAAAGGCAAGAAGGAUGAAAUUAAGCCUGAAAGAAGUGAUAAAAUGGAAGAGGGUGAAAAGCCAGCGGGAUCCUCCAAGGAACAAAAAGAAGAAAAGUUAGUAAAGAGUCCAGCAAAGCUAAAGGAAAAAGCGGAAUUGCCAAGAGGCAGUGAUGGUGACACUGAUGACGUGCCAGAGUAAGAAAGAGCAGAAGAGUCAGAAGGGAGAUCGAGACAAACUGAUUACUGAAGCUGACAAGUGUUUUAUUGAAAAUCAAAACAUUGCAGCUUCACAUGAAAGCCUCAAACGUGCUCGGAGUGGCAUCACCACAGAUGAAG
Non-coding RNA from Pelobates cultripes (western spadefoot toad), 456 nucleotides. The record is from the annotation of a GenBank genome assembly. Lineage: Eukaryota; Metazoa; Chordata; Amphibia; Anura; Pelobatidae.